Molecule: long non-coding RNA, 227 nt
Filed under: Gossypium raimondii (Peruvian cotton)
Lineage: Eukaryota; Viridiplantae; Streptophyta; Magnoliopsida; Malvales; Malvaceae
Description: long non-coding RNA (GRAI_LNC006209)
Source: RNAcentral
UUCUGUACCUUAAGAACGAUGAAGAAAACUGAAAUGAAAGCAAUGAAAUGGAUUGACCAAAAACUGGAGAAAAAAAAACAAAAGUUAAAAGUAGUUCCUAACAAAUUAAACAUUUCAAAUAAAUAAAACAGUAAUGAACAAUAGAAGCAGUAACUUACCUUCACGAGGAUGAACAAAACGGUCGAAGACACCGAAAACCCUAAACAGAGAGAACACACCGAAAACCC